RNAcentral lists this ribosomal RNA (481 nucleotides) under uncultured bacterium. RNAcentral's name for it is "partial 16S ribosomal RNA". It matches the Rfam family "Bacterial small subunit ribosomal RNA", at positions 28 to 507 of the family's 1533-position model. The record is from RNAcentral.
GAUGAACGCUGGCGGCGUGCUUAACACAUGCAAGUCGAACGAAGCACUUUAUUUGAUUUCCUUCGGGACUGAUUAUUUUGUGACUGAGUGGCGGACGGGUGAGUAACGCGUGGGUAACCUGCCUUGUACAGGGGGAUAACAGUUGGAAACGGCUGCUAAUACCGCAUAAGCGCACGGCAUCGCAUGAUGCAGUGUGAAAAACUCCGGUGGUAUAAGAUGGACCCGCGUUGGAUUAGCUAGUUGGUGAGGUAACGGCCCACCAAGGCGACGAUCCAUAGCCGACCUGAGAGGGUGACCGGCCACAUUGGGACUGAGACACGGCCCGAACUCCUACGGGAGGCAGCAGUGGGGAAUAUUGCACAAUGGGCGAAAGCCUGAUGCAGCGACGCCGCGUGAGCGAAGAAGUAUUUCGGUAUGUAAAGCUCUAUCAGCAGGGAAGAUAAUGACGGUACCUGACUAAGAAGCACCGGCUAAAUACGUG